AAAAAAAAAAAAAAAAAAAAAAAAAAAAAAAGAUCUAUGGGCUGGGCUUCAAAUAAUUUGAAAGGGGAGUUUCCGAUUGCUCUAAAACACGCAAAGAAUGGGCAAAUUUCUCUUGAUUUUGAUCCAUUCUUCCAAUGCCCCUAACGCAAAUUUUCUUGAAUCUUGGAUAACGAAAUUGGGGAAAAGCACAGAGUAGAUCAUUUCAUUCAGAAGCGGUAGAGAAUUCUGACAUUUUUCUUUAUUAGUAUUCCAAAUAAUCAGGUGCAAUGGCUGAGAUAAUAAACAAGUUUUUCAUCGCAUCCAUGUGUAUGUUGGCUGCCCCUCUUGCUAUUCUGUAUGGCUACAAGAAAGAUUUAUUACCUGGUUCGAAUGAUCUGUCGCCAGCAGCAAUGACAUUGUGGACUGGAAUCCUUACAGUGGUGUCCGUCAAUAUGGUUAUAGCAUUCUUCAUUUAUAUGGCAGUAAAAGACCAACAUGAGCCACUUCAUCCUAAGCAAGAAUAGCAAAAUUCAUGAAUUAGAUAUAAUACUGUAGUUGAACAAUAAGGCGUUCCGUUCCUCAAUAAAUUAAAGAGACAAGUUUUUCUUGUUCUUACAUUAGAGUUUUUAUAUAUGUCAGCAUAUCAUUGUGUACGGCCAUUGUCAUUCCAUCCUUGAAUUCCAUCUUAAAUUAAACGU
Molecule: long non-coding RNA, 677 nt
Organism: Andrographis paniculata
Lineage: Eukaryota; Viridiplantae; Streptophyta; Magnoliopsida; Lamiales; Acanthaceae
Exons: 3
Source: RefSeq, a predicted model, not a curated record